This 253-nucleotide ribosomal RNA is filed under the name uncultured bacterium. Its description in RNAcentral is "partial 16S ribosomal RNA". It matches the Rfam family "Bacterial small subunit ribosomal RNA", at positions 524 to 776 of the family's 1533-position model. The record is from RNAcentral.
UACGUAGGGGGCAAGCGUUGUCCGGAAUUAUUGGGCGUAAAGAGCUCGUAGGCGGACUGUCACGUCCGCUGUGAAAAGUUAGGGCUUAACCCCGAGCCUGCAGUGGAUACGGGCAGACUAGAGGUAGGUAGGGGAGAAUGGAAUUCCCGGUGUAGCGGUGAAAUGCGCAGAUAUCGGGAGGAACACCGGUGGCGAAGGCGGUUCUCUGGGCCUUACCUGACGCUGAGGAGCGAAAGCGUGGGGAGCGAACAGG